Molecule: transfer RNA, 62 nt
Filed under: Cymbiodyta marginella
Lineage: Eukaryota; Metazoa; Arthropoda; Insecta; Coleoptera; Hydrophilidae
Description: tRNA-Cys
Source: RNAcentral
GGCCUUAUAUUCAAAUAUGAUUUUAAAUUGCAAGUUUAAAGGUGGAGACUCUCCUAAGGCUU